This 2090-nucleotide long non-coding RNA is filed under the name Gossypium barbadense (sea-island cotton). RNAcentral describes it as "long non-coding RNA (GBAR_LNC001109)". Lineage: Eukaryota; Viridiplantae; Streptophyta; Magnoliopsida; Malvales; Malvaceae. The record is from RNAcentral.
GCACAGGCCCCCUCCUUCCCAAACGCCGUUUGCUUCUGUUUUAUAAAUAAAUUUUGCUUAUUUUUUUACUUCACCCCUUUCCUUUUUCUUUUUAAAAAAUUUACAGAGCCUACCUCCCCAUUUUUUCUUCUUUUCCUCUGCUAGGUUUUCAAAGCCUAGCUUGCGCUGAAAUAAAAAGAAGCAAAAUAGGUUUUCAAUCUUUCUCUGCUAGGGCAAAAGAGUUAGCCCAUCCUUCCAGCUGCUCUGUUGUGCGCACACCAAUGAUGGCGGCUGGAAAAAAAUCAAUGGUAAGGGUAUUCCCUCCCUUUUUCUUUUUGAUUUUCGAAUGUAAUAAUAAAAAGAAAAAAAAGAUGAAAACAGAAAUUGAAACCAAACUAAGAGCAAAAGAUAACCUUUUGAAAUUUUCAUUUUUGAUUGAUUUUAGUAUAUUUUUUGAAUCCCCCCCAUCUUUUUUACAUCCGUUUUUCAGUGGCUUUAUAGCCAAAAAAUAACAAUACAAUAUUAUUCCUCGUUACUGUUUAUGUCUAGGUUUUGCUCUCUGUAUGCUCUUGUCCUUGCUACUGUUCUAUCACUGUUUCAGCCUCUGUUAUGGCUGCUACUUUCGUUUCUUUUUUGCUCUCUUUGCAGGCUUUGAAGAAGGUGAUGGGAUGGAGCAGAGGAGUCAAGCCUCGGGACGAAGCGCGGGUGGUGCGCCCGAGGAGGAGCAGCGGCAACUCUUAGGCUAGGGUUUCUUUUUUUUCUUGCUGAAAGUUAAAGUUAUGGGCUUUUGGGCUAGGUUUAGUUUGGGUUUGGGUGAUUUUUAAUAUUGGGUUCAAUUUCAUCAAUUGGGCCGGGCAAAUUUGGGCCUGUACACUCGUAAUCUUCUCGAGCUCUGCUGGCUAGAAAAUUUACUAUUCCACUCCCUUUUAUCGCCUUCUAGUUCACAUAGACUAUAUCGAACUCAGAAAGUAGAAUUUGCCAUCGGGUCAUUCUUCCAUUCAAAACAAUUGACUCCAUCAUGUACUUUAGAGGGUCCAAUUUUGAAAUAAGCCAAGUUGUGUGGUACAACAUGUAUUGUCUCAGUCUACAGGUUGCCCAAAUUAAGGUGCAACACAACUUCUCAAUUGGUGAAUAUCUUACCUCACAUUCAAUGAACUUCUUACUGAAAUAGUAUAUCGCUUUUUGUUUUAUCAUUGAUUACAAACUCUAGCAAUUUCUCUGACUUAGCCCCGAAGGUACAUUUUGCUGGAUUGAGCUUUAGCUGAAAUUUUCUCAAACUUAAGAACAAUUUUCUCAGGACUUGUAUAUGCUCCUUUUCUAUUCGGGACUUUACAAUUAUAUCGUCUACAUAAACCUCGAUUUCCUUGUGCAUCAUAUCAUGAAACAAAGUUACCAUGGCUCUUUGAUAUGUCACUCCCACAAUUUUCAGUCUAAAUGGCAUAACUUUAUAGCAAAAUGUUCCCCACAUGGUUACAAUGUCGUCUUUUCCAUAUCUUUAGGAUGCAUCUUAAUCUGGUUGUAUCCGGAGAAACCAUCCAUGAAGGAGAACAGUGUGUAACAUGUCGUGUUGUCCACUAAGGUGUCGAUAUGAGGUAAUGAAAAAUUAUCUUUUGAGCUGGCUUUGUUUAAAUCCCUGUAGUCUAUGCACAUUCAUACUUUCCUAUAUUUUUUAGGGGAGGGGACAAUAUUGGCUACCCUUUUCUAAGUAUUUAACCACUUGUAAGAAACCAGUAUCAAAUUGCUUCUUGACCUCUUCUUUUAUUUUCAGCAAGACAUUAAGUCUCAUCCUUCGGAGCUUCUGUUGAACUGGCUUACAUUCUUCUUUUAUGGGGAGCCGAUGUACCACAAUAUCAGUACUUAGCCCGAGCAUGUCUUGAUAUGAUCAUGAGAAGAUAUCAUUGAAUUCUUGGAGUAACUCAAUGAGGUCCCACUUUGUCUCUACGGUUAUGCAAGUUUCAAUCUUCACCUCUUUUUCUUCUCCUAAGCUCACAAUUUCCACUGACUCUUUGUAAUGUAGGAUUUGUUUCUCAUCUUGUUCCACCAUCCUCAACAAAUCAGGAGAUAGUCUACAGUCUCGAUCAUCUUCAAAAGGAGAUCUGAGUCAGUAGUAG